RNAcentral lists this ribosomal RNA (403 nucleotides) under uncultured prokaryote. RNAcentral describes it as "bacterial SSU rRNA". It matches the Rfam family "Bacterial small subunit ribosomal RNA", at positions 355 to 774 of the family's 1533-position model. The record is from RNAcentral.
UGAAGAAUAUUGGGCAAUGGGCGAAAGCCUGACCCAGCAACGCCGCGUGCACGAUGAAGGCCUUCGGGUCGUAAAGUGCUUUUAGAGAGGAUGAGGAAGGACAGUACUUUCUGAAUAAGCCUCGGCUAACUACGUGCCAGCAGCCGCGGUAAAACGUAGGAGGCUAGCGUUAUCCGGAUUUACUGGGCGUAAAGCGCGUGCAGGUGGUCUUGUAAGUUGGAUGUGAAAGCUCCUGGCUUAACUGGGAGAGGUCGUUCAAAACUGCAAGACUUGAGAUUGGUAGAGGGAGGUGGAAGUCCGGGUGUAGCGGUGGAAUGCGCAGAUAUCCGGAGGAACACCAGUGGCGAAAGCGGCCUCCUGGACCACUCCUGACACUCAGACGCGAAAGCUAGGGUAGCAAACG